RNAcentral lists this ribosomal RNA (253 nucleotides) under uncultured bacterium. Its description in RNAcentral is "partial 16S ribosomal RNA". It matches the Rfam family "Bacterial small subunit ribosomal RNA", at positions 524 to 776 of the family's 1533-position model. The record is from RNAcentral.
UACGUAGGGUGCAAGCGUUGUCCGGAAUUAUUGGGCGUAAAGGGCUUGUAGGCGGUCCAUCGCGUCGGGAGUGAAAAGCUGGGGCUUAACCCCAGUCCUGCUUCCGAUACGGGUGGACUAGAGGUAGGUAGGGGAGAUCGGAAUUCCUGGUGUAGCGGUGAAAUGCGCAGAUAUCAGGAGGAACACCGGUGGCGAAGGCGGAUCUCUGGGCCUUACCUGACGCUGAGGAGCGAAAGCAUGGGGAGCAAACAGG